This 253-nucleotide ribosomal RNA is filed under the name uncultured prokaryote. RNAcentral describes it as "partial 16S ribosomal RNA". It matches the Rfam family "Bacterial small subunit ribosomal RNA", at positions 524 to 776 of the family's 1533-position model. The record is from RNAcentral.
UAUGUAGGUGGCAAGCGUUGUCCGGAUUUACUGGGCGUAAAGCGUAUGCAGGCGGAAGGUUAAGUAGGAAGUGAAAGGGUGGAGCUCAACUCCGCCACUGCUCCCUAUACUGGCCUUCUUGAGUGCCGGAGAGGAAGAUGGAACUCCACGUGUAGCGGUGAAAUGCGUUGAGAUGUGGAGGAACACCAAUGGCGAAAGCAAUCUUCUGGACGGAAACUGACGCUGAGAUACGAAAGCCAAGGGAGCGAACAGG